AAUUACAUCACCAUUUCAUGGCACGCGUUUGACGCAUUUGUUAAAAUUUUCGACUUUUCGUGACAGCACGUCAAUUUCGACAUUUGAUUGAUAAUUUUCUAAAGAUCCAUCAAAUUAGUUUGUUUGAAAGUUGGUUUGGGCGCUAAAUGUUAUUAUUUCGUUGUUUUAACUUUAAUUCUAUGAUGUGAGUGUGUGGUAUCCAUUUUUGGUUGCGUGUAUCUUUAUCCCAUAAUGAGCGCUCUCAAGUGCGUGGUUGAAGGGUGCAAUUUAGAAUAUGAUGUAGUCUGCAGCUUCUCGUUCUACAAUGCCAACAUAUCGACGGACAAUGAAGCCAAGCGGCAGGACUGGAUCGAGGGUGCUAUGCACGAGGAGAGCGAGUGCCUCUGGAGACAUGUCAGCUUGCAAUUAUGCGGGUAUCAUUUCGAGCUGGACAACCAGGGUCUCUGGAUCGACUCCCCGAUGCUACCGGAGUUGCUCACUCACCAGGAGAAGACCGCUCCAGUGAUACAGUCGCCUAACGACAAGAAAUACGCAGACAAAGGGCCAAGUUAUCAAAAUCUAUUCGAAAGAUUCGUUGGGGAACAUCGCAGAGUGGCUGAAAUAAUUCGCAUGGAGCACAAUUACAGCGUGGAGCCCGUCAAGGAAGACCCGGAGAGCGUCUCCAGACUGAACGUCAGACAAUUAGUUGAUACCCUGGGUUAUCUAUCUCUGAAGAACCUGCAACGCAAGCAGCUGUGGGUGGUGAAGGUGGAGACGGACAAGGCGGAGGCGUCCAUCACCCAGUCGGAACAGGUCAUCACCAAGAUGCCUGAUCCGCGCCAGAUUAUUGAGAUAAUCCCACAAUCGUCAACAUCGACCUCAGCUGAACCGGAGGCCCAGAACUCAGAAGUUCUACAAAUCAUGGACGAUAACACCAUUUCAGACAACUUCAUAUACGAGAUAGCUGAAGAACAGGAGAUUACCAUGGAAGAAGUCAAGGAAAUACCAGCCACCUCAUCGGAGAACCCUGAAUGGACCGUCAACAUACUCCCCGAUGACACCAAACCAAAGUAUGCUUACAUAAAACACUGUUCUUCGGGCAAGAAGAAACGUCACUUUCACAGCGGACAUGAAUGAAAUCACACUACAAGGUGAUUUUGAGAACUAUUAUAUAUUACCAGAUGUGGAUCCCUCGGUCGGUGUUGAAAUAACUACUAGUUAUGAACCGGAAAACUAUAUUGUUGAGGAAUAUCAGCACCUGGUACUCGAUGAGAGACCGAAGAAAAGGGCUAAUAAGGAUGAUUCUGGUAGAAAAAAGAAGAAGAGGCUCUCAAACCCUCCUGUGAAAGAGGAACCCACUGAUUGGGUCAUUGAAAACAACAUAGUUUACGAGCAAGAUGAAGACUUUGACGAUCCCAAGAAAGUAGCUUCACGUGUAAGAAGAAAAAAUAAAAAGUACCUCGGGUAUGACUUUGUUACUUAAUUAUCUUCUUUGAACAAGGCAUUUGACUUUGGAUUUUCUGUUAUUAGGGCUUGUUGGCUGGUCAGACUUUGUUUUAGAGCUAAGUUUUUAGAUUUUCUAGGUAUAUUAGUCAAUAAUUAUUAUCUUAUAUUCAGUCGACUCGUUUAGAAGUGAUGCUGGACUAUGAGCCUCCUCUACAUAAGAGUGUUACCACACCAAUCGAGCGAUCGUCGAUCGAUGGUAGAAUGGAUUAGUCGACGUCGAUCGAUAGUUUCUACAACACCAAUCGAUCGAUAGCCGAUAGAUUCAAUAUGUCGAUGGUGGAAUGGAUUAGUCGACGUCGAUCGAUAGUUUCUACCACACCAAUCGAUCGAUAGCCGAUAGAUUCAUUGAAAUAAAUGCUUUGAAUUUUCACAUUUUUGGAGCUAAAAUUAAGUUUGACUAGUCAAAUCUACUAUAGGAUGUCAUUUAACUGACUAAACAUGAUUUUAAUUAUGAUUCUGAUAUAUAAAUUAACUUUUUUUGUCUAGUAUCCAUCUAUAAAUGUUUUUAAAGAUCGAUUUUUCGUAAUUUCUCUAUAACAUCUAUGAGUAUGGAAUUAAAGACUCUGUUCUUUUAAAAUGGCUUAGAGAAAAUGCAUUUUGGUAAAACGAAAUGGACUUCAUAUUAAAAUAAAACUAGAAUAAAAUGCUUAGACGGGAAUUGAAUCCAUUUUCAAUGCAAUAUCUCAGGUUUCGACCCCUGUCUUACGCCCGAAUACUGAAACGCUACUCAAUUUUAAGUUGUACUUAAAUAUCGUGCUGUCUCUGUCAUUGUAUAAAGAAUUGAUAGGGACAGAACUACAUUUGAGGGCGUCUUAAAAUUGAGUAGCGUUUGAGUAUUCGGGCAUUAGUCUAGUUAUUUUAGUUCCUAGCUAAAACUAAAAGAGCAAAUAUAUCUUCAAACUAAAAUCAUGUUUAGUACAAAUCAUUAUAUUCACGUAAUCUUGAAAUACGAUAAAAAAAAAUAUUGAACUUCAUUUAAGAUCUCAUAUUGCAAAGAAAAUAUUGACACAUAAUUAAAAUAAUCGGAUCAUUAGUUAAUUUGUUAUUAAAUUAAUAAUGCUAUUAUCAUGACAGACUCACCCCCUAUUACAUGGGACUUAUAACACAUAAAUGGUGAAAAGUGGGUGUUACAUUGCAUAGCUGCACCUCUGCCUACCCCUUCGGGGUUUAAAAAGCAUGAUGCUACACUUAUUACUCCAAAUAAAGAAAUAAAUUUCGAAAAAAUCAUGCAAUCAUGAAUUUUGUCGAUGAUAUCUCUUUAAGAAUCCGGACUCAAACGGGGUAGACUAAAUAGAUCCGUGUAGAAAUUUGUAUUUAUAGUUUAAAAUGUAAGUUACAUGUCACAUAGCUUGCUACGCGCAGUAGUUACAGCUGUGUACAGUCUGUCACUCUCUCAGUCAACGGUAACUGACAAUUCUUAUGUAAGGUGUUCUAAAAGUAUCUGCCACGGCUUUAAUGGGAGGUAGUGUUGUUUGAAGAUUACAAUUUGUGAAUAUAAAUGAUUAAUUAUGAGUAUUUUUUUUUCUUACUCAAAAUCUAUGUAUGAGUUUGUUAUGAAAGAGCUAUCUCUUUCACUGUCUCUGUUGAUAGCAAUUGUUUUCAUUGACGAAGCGACGCAUCGUGUGUAUUUGUGAACCACUUUAUGCAGAGUAGAGUCAAUGUUUAUUUAACUUCUUUAUGUUCUCAAAUUGAAUUAACUGGUCCGGGGUACGAAAUUUCUUCACUAUUGUAAUCUUCAAACACAACACUACCUCCCAUUAAAGCCGUGGCAGAUACUUUUAGAACAAUUUAUAUAAUUUUGUAUAAAAAUUAGUUUGAAAUGUACUUUAUGUAAUUGUAUUGGUAGAUUUUAUAACAUUAUAAUUAUAGGUUUUGAAAUAUCCUAUAAUCUUUAAAAAAAACUCUUCUUGUAAAAUAACAUUAAGAAAAUUACUCAUUUGAUUUUGAACGCCCAAAUAUCGGGUGUCCAUUGGCGAUCGAUUGCUUACCAUCAGGUGAUCCGUCUGCUCGUUUACCGACAUAUAGGGUGACUGGUAAUUAGUGAACGAUAUUUAAACACGUGAUUGUACUCAUGAUUACAAACAACUUUCCCGAAGAAACUUUUUUCGUAUACUCAUUAGUUUUAUUUUUAUCACAAUAACAAAACAAGAAAAUUUCGCGCGCGUGCUUUCGUAUGAUCAGCUGUUAGCAGACGCUAUUUUAGAACUUUACGUGCGCGUGCUAAUGAAUUUUUGUUAUCGUCAUAAAAAUAAAACUAACGAGUAUACAAAACAAGUUUCUUCGGGAAAGUUGUUUGUAAUCAUGAGUACAAUCACGUGUUUAAAUAUCGUUCACUAAUUACCAGUCACCAACAAAAAGUAGUUGUCUUAAUGUUAUUUUUAAAGCAAGAUUUUUUUGAAAAUUUUCAAAGUCAAAUGCCUUGGUUUUAGCGUUAAGAUUUUGUUUAUAUUUUAUUCAUAUUAUUAUUACUACCUAUAUUAAAUAAAUAGUUAGCUUCGUUUUUUGGUUUAACAUUUUAACUGAAAAAUUGAUAUUUGAAUGUGUUUUUUUACAAAACAACGAGUCUAGUUACAAGGCCCUUGAAAAGGCUGGCAACGCACUAGUAACGCCUUUAGUGUUUUGGGUGUAAAUAAGCGGUGCUGAUUGCUUACCAUCUAUAGCGUUAGUAUGAGUUUGCUUUAUGUUACGAAAAUGAAACGAAAGCGCGUUCGGCGCGAAUGAAGCAACUAAUCAGAGCGCCGAACGCGCUCUCGUUCAAUGUAAAGCAAAUUCGUACUAAGGGUUUCAUUUACGGGUCGGGCAAAGUAUUGCUGAGCGAUUUUCGGUUUUUCGAAAAUUUCUCAGUAGUAGCACGGAGUCCGGAAUUGUGCCCAGUAUAUGGCAAUAGGCUCACCCUCUAUUACAUGGGACUUAUAACACAAAUGGUGAAAAGUGGGUGUACAUUGUAUAUCGGCAUUACGUGCCGUGAUGUGCACCUCUGCCUACCCCUUCGGGGAUAAAAGGCGUGACUAAAGAAUAUGUCAAAUAUCAAUUUUUAAGUUAAAUGCCUAACUAAAUAUUAUGUAUUAUAAUAUCUAAUAUUGUGAUGAAAUAUUAAAGGAGUAGUAAACUUAAAGAAAGAGAAAAAAUAACAAAAAAAUCACAUUUUAUUCAUUUUCAUGUAUAUUUGUUUGAAUUUAUUGUUGGUUGGGUUAAAAAACUAUUUGCUUUUUAUCUUUAACAUAUAAUAUAUCUUGUCUGUAGUUCCUAGGUUAUUAUUGAAAAUUUAGGUUUUAUUCUAUACUUCAUACUGCCGCAAACAUUGUUUUCUCACCUUUUAAACCUUCCCUGGACUUUCACAAAUAAUUCAAGACCAAAAUUUGCCAAAUUGGUCCAACCGUUCUCGAGUUUUAGCGAGACUAACGAACAGCAAUUGAUUUUUAUUAGUUAUACCGUGAUACCACGGCCUCACAGAAAACCGACGUGAAACAAUGCUUGCGUUGUGUGAGUGAGGUUACCGGAGGCCUAAUUACCCGCCUUCCCAAUCCCCGAUUCCCCAACCGUUAAAUUCCUAACCCCCAAAAGGCCGGCAACGCACUUGUAACGCCUCUGGUGUUUCAAGUGUCCAUGGGCGGCGGCGAUUGCUUACCAUCAGGUGAUCUAUCUACCCCUUCUAGGGAUAAAAGGCAUGAUGCACUUUAUAUUAUUAUAUUGAAUAUUACUGUUUUAAUUUUCAAAAUAUUAUUUUAAAAAGUUGUGUCAAAUAUUUUUUUAACCCAACAUUUUAGUUUGAUCAUUAGCCUAGUAGAGUAUCAUGGAUUAUUUGUAUCGUUGUAAGUACUAUGAAGCAGUGUUUUAAAUAAAUACAUUUCUUUUUAAAAACAA
Spodoptera frugiperda (fall armyworm) is the source of this 5349-nucleotide RNA transcript. RefSeq lists it as uncharacterized. The record is from RefSeq and is a predicted model, not a curated record. Lineage: Eukaryota; Metazoa; Arthropoda; Insecta; Lepidoptera; Noctuidae. The transcript is spliced from 7 exons.